UGUUGUGCUUUUCUAGCUUCAGUUAGGUUGAAUCUGUGUGAUUCAAGCGAUCUGCCUGAUUUCUUGCAAGAUCUUAGUGAUCUAGUUUUUUGGUUCCUUGGUGGAGCGUGACUUGCUGUGUAAUAUGCACUUGAUUCUUAAUGAUUCGAGAGAGAGCAAUUAGGGUUUUAGGGAGAUCUUUGUGACCCAAUUUGAUUCCUUUGUGGAAUAGUGGUUGGCUAUUGUUGUUCUUCAUAAGAUAAGUCUCUGUGACCUUUUUUUUUUUUUGUAAUUUCUGGAACAAUUCUUGUAAACUUGAUGCCUAUUUUUGAGGCUUUAUAGUGCAAUCGAGCUCUAUCCAUUUUAAUUAAUGCUCAACAGGGGAUUAGGCUUAGAAGUGGUUGUCGAACCUCUGAGGCUUCGGUCGAAAAAUCUCUGCAUUGAUUUUCUUAUUUUCUACACUUUUACUGUUUUUAUUGUGGUUUUACGAGUCUUUGUUAAUUCUUAGAUGCUCCUCGAACUUUUUAGUGGUAUCAGAGCAAUCUUGGACUAUUGGAGCGUCUUUGAUUCUUGUGAGUUGAUUGGAUUCUAAAACCCGCUUCAAGUGGAAAUUGAGUUUUAUCAAACUCAUUGGUGAGAUCUUUCUUGCAUUCUAUAAUUAAUUUUUACAGUAAGGUCUCCUAAUUUUUCCCUUGAUUUACCUUGUACUAAUAAACCCUACUGUGGCUGGUCUUUGUCCAAAGACUCGAGAAGUUUUGGGAAUCUAAGAUAACAACACUAGUAGGAGUGCAAUUGGAAGGUCUUGCUGAAGAAGUUAGUUGAGGCUUAGGAAUUGAUGUCUCUAUUCUUUGUGAUUCUACAUUUUAUACUUAGUGUCAAGUGUUUACUGUUUUGAGAAAAUAGUACAAGUGCAUAGGUCAUUGACCCUUGAUUCCCUAGACUGCCUGCAAUACUCUUAUUGUGACCCAAUUUGGUCCCCAUUCUCAUUUUUAUUCUUUUUCUCUUUCUUAUUUUCAACCACAAAAUCUUCCAUAAAAUAAUAUUAUACGAAAAAAAAUUUCAUUCUUUUUUAACCACACAUUUAAAAAAAACACUAUUCCAACCAUUAAAACUUGGAAAUAAUGGGGGACCAAACGGGGGCUGUAUGUCCCUGUGUGUUCUUGAAAUCAAACUUGUGUGCUGUGAACUAUCUUGGUGAAUCUUGUCAUGAUACCACUAAGUUUGAAAUGAACAUGUAUGAUGGGAGGGGGGACUUUAAUAUAUGGAGCUAGAAAAUGAGGGCUAUCUUGAUGCAAAUAAAAUGUGCCAAAGCCUUAGAUAACUCUUAGCCAGCUGAAAUAUUUGUUGCUAAAAGAACUGAGUUAGAAGAAAUAACAUGGGGUACUAAUUUUUGGUACCUUUCAGACAAUGCGAUCAGGUCUAUAGGUGAAACAAAAACUGUUGAAGAGUUGUGGACCAAAUUGAAAGCCUAAUAUGAGCCAAAAACUGUUCCAAAAAAAUGUUUUUUGCUAAAAUAAUUCUUUUCUUUCAAAAUGGACCCUUCUGUUGACUUAGAUGAGAAUUUGGACAGAUUUACCAAAUUGACCCAGACCUUACCAACUGUGAUGAGAAAUUAUCGAAAGUUCAGUUGGCAGUGGUCUUGUUAAACUCCAUUAGUGAUAGGCAUAUAGACCUCAAGAAUGCCUUAAAAUAUGGAAGAGAUAAGCUUACCAUAGAAAUCAUUAUAAAUGCCUUAAGAAAUAGGGUUCUUGGAUUAAAAUCAGAUUCUAUCAACCAUCAAAAUGGAGAAAUUUUUUUCAUAAAAGGCAAAAUGUUGGUAAAUCUAAUUUUCAUUGAAAAUUUCAAAAUGACCAUAAGAAAAAGAAUAAUGACAAAAUGAAAUCCAAAUCUAAGGCAAAGGGAAAGAAAUGUUAUUAUUGUGGUAAGUUGGGUCACUUUGCAAAAAAUUGUUACAAAAAGCAAAAUGAUUUGAAAGGAAAGAAGUUAAAUGCGGUAAUGCUGUUUUAUCCUAUGAUAAGCAAAAAUUUGAUAAUGGCCUGGUUCUUGUAAAUGUUGAAAGGAACCUAAAUCAAGAAUGGAUUCUUGAUUCAGGUUGCUCUUUUCACAUGUACCAUAAUAAAAAACUAUUUUUUGGAUUUUGAACAAACUAAAGGAGGCCAAGUUAUCAUGGGAAACAACAUGACCUGCAAAGUAAAAGGUAUUGGAAUCAUAAGAUUGCUUUUGGAAAAUGGCUACAGGGGCCAGAUUUGUUCCUGAAUUAGAAAGAAACCUUGUGUCUUUAGGAAUGUUGAAUGACAUAGAGUUUAACAAAAAAUUGGGUCAAUGACACAUAAAAAUAUUUAGGAAUAGUGAUUUGAUCACUUCUAUCCCAAAGAGAUAUGGUUUAUACUUUCGAAAUGCAAAACCUUUUAUGAGUCUUUCAGUAGUAGUUUUAGAUGAUGAAAUUAAUCUUGCAAAAUUGUGGCAUUGUAAGCUUCGUCACAUUGGGGUGAAAGGUUUAAAGACUUUACAAAAUAAAGGUGUAUUUGGAAAAUCAAAUAUUGGUGAAUUAUCUAAAUGUGAACAAUACUUGAUUGGAAAACAAGUUAAAUUACAUUUUUCCACUAAUACUCAUAAAUCAAAGCAAAUUUUAGAAUACUUACAUGCUGAUUUGUGGAGCCCUACAUCCACCCUUACAUUGUCUGGUUACAAGUAUUACUUAUUAAUAAUUAAUGAUUUCUCAAGAAAAAAUUGGGUAUUUCUUUUGAAAACCAAAGAUGAAAAACAUUUGCCACAUUUAAAGAAUGGAAAACCCAAAUUGAAAAUCAAAACUUUGAGAAUAGACAAUGGAUUAGAAUUUUGCAAUUAUGAGUUAAUGAUUUUUGCAAGUUGCAUGGUAUUCUAAGACAUAGAACUGUGACCUACACACCCUAGCAAAAUGGCAUUACAGAAAGAAUGAAUAGGACUUUGUUGAAUAAAGUUAUAAACAUGCUUUUGAGUUCUGGAUUACCCAAAUUAUUUUGGGGUGAAACUAUUAAAAUUGUUGCAUAUUUGAUUAAUAAAGUCCUACAAGUGCUUUGAAUUUUGAUGUGCCUGAAAGUGUGUGGACACAAAAGCCUGUAAUUUAUUCUUACUUGAAAAUAUUUGGUUGUGCUGCAUAUGCUCAUCAAAAUAUAGGAAAACAUGAACCUAGAUUCUUUAAAUAUGUGUUUUAGGGAUAUGUUGAAAAUAUUAAAGGAUAUAGAUUGUGGAUUUAUGAAAAAAAAGGUUACAGGUUUAUUAUAAGGAGGGAAAUGGUCUUUAAUGAGUCAUAUAUGUCAUAUUUGGAAGGAAAACAGGGAAAUUUGACUAAUAAUAAUGUCCAAAUUGAGGUGGAGCCUAUUAAAAUUGAUAAUACCAGAUCUGUCCCCCCCCACCCAUCCACCCACCCAAAACAACAACUAAUGAGGCUAACCAGAAUGAAAACGAACAUGAUUUGGCUGAACCUAAGCAAUAUGAUGACAAUAAUACACCUCUAGAUGAAUACCAGCUUACUAGAUAUAAGGAUAGGAGGCAAAUUAGACAACCUGUUAAGUUUAAUUGUGAUGACUUUGUGUCUUUGUUCACUUACCAAGAAGAAACUGAAUUUGAACCUAGUUCCUAUUAUGAAGCCUUGAAAUCUAAAGAUUCUAAGAGGUGGUUGAGUGCUAUGGAAGAAGGGAUGUCUUACCUAUACAAAAAUAAAACUUGGAAAUUGGUUGAUAGACCUAUGGACAAUAAGCUAGUUGAUUGCAAGUGGAUUUAUAAGAUCAAGGAAGGGGUGGCACUAAUAAUGUUAGAUACAAAGUUAGGCUUGUUGCGAAGGGUUUUACACAAAAGGAAGGUGUGGACUAUAAUGAGAUUUUUUCCGUCGUGGUUAAAUAUACAACUAUAAGAUGCAUUAUUUCUUUAGUUGUGCAAGUUAGAUAGAAACUUGAUCAACUAGAUGUAAAAACUGCUUUUCUUUAUAGUGAAUUAAAUAAAGUGAUCUACAUGAAACAACCUUGAAGAUUUAUUAUAGGAAAUCCUAAAAAAACUGUAUGUUUGUUGAAAAAAUCUUUGUAUGGCCUACAACAAACUCCAAGACAAUGGUAUAAAAGAUUCAAUUCAUUUGUCUUGAAGCUUGGGUUUAGUAGAAGCAAUUAUGAUACAUAUCUUUAUUGUAAAGGAUGUGGAGGUAAAUAUUCUUUGUAUCUUGUGCUUUAUGUUGAUGAUAUGCUUCUUGCUAGUGCCAAUAAAUCUGAAACUGAUGAUAUCAAACACAAAUUAAAAUUAGAAUUUGAUAUGAAGGAUCUUGGUUCUGCUAAGAAAAUACUUGGCAUACAAAUUAUAGGAGAUGAGAAAUCUGGUUGUUUGUUCUUAAGUCAACAAGAGUGUGAAUAGGAUCCUUAAGAAGUUUAAUAUGUUUGAUUGUAAACAUGUGACUUUACCCCUUGCUAAUCAUUUUAUAUCAACAUCUUAUUUGUGUCCAAAAACUGAAGAUGAACUUGAAAGGAUGCCUAAAAUACCUUAUACUAAUGCUAUUGGUUCAAUCAUGUACAUAAUGAUUUGCACCAUACUUGAUUUGGCUUUUAGUAUUAAUGUUUUGAGUAGAUUUAUGAGAAAUCGUGGUGAAUUUCAUUGGGAAGCAUUGAAGUGGUUAUUGAGAUACUUAAAAAGUUCGUCUAACUUAGGAUUGAUGUUUAAAAUGGACAAAAAGGGGAUAAUUUUAAAGGGUCAUAUAGAUUCUGAUUUUGCUGAAAAUAGAGACAAUAGAAAAUCAACUUCCUCGUAUUUUUACACUUUAUGUGGUACUGUGAUAAGUUGGAAAUCUCAGUUACAAAAAAUUGUUGCUUUAUCUUCCACGGAGGCUUAAUGUAUUGCAGCCACUGAUGCCAUUAAAGAAGGCAUAUGGUUGCAUAGUUUGUUGAAUGAACUUGGUUUUGUAAAUACUAUACAAUAUUGUAUUCUAACAAUCAAAGUGCAAUCCAUUUGAGUAAACAUCCCAUGUUCCAUGAUAGAACAAAAGAUGUUGAUGUAAAAUAUCAUUUUACAAAGGAUGUUAGUUUUAAAGGGUUGUUGAAAAUUAAUAAAAUACUUACUUUGUAUGAUCCAUCAAAUAUGGGAACUAAGGUGAUACCUUUAAAUAAGUUUCAAAACUGUUUAAAGAUGUUAUCUAUUGAUUCUUUUCAUUGAUUGUACAAGUACAAUAGAGCAAAUGACAUUAGAAAUGUCGGUGAAGCUCCUGGCUACACUAUAGCCUUAAAAAUUUUGGAAGCAAAGUGGAGAUUGUUGAGAUUCGAACUGCUAAACUAUGACUUGAAGAAGUGUGCUUCCAAAAUAGAGAAAAAUGUGUUUUUACAAUGAUAACUUAAUUAGUGGAAGCUCUUAACAAGAUCUUGACACGUGGUGACUUGGAGGCCGUCCAAUUGAAUUCUAGAUCCUUCCAUCCAUAAAGUCUCGUGACUCCUCUUUUGGACACAAGACGUUUGAGAGACUUCUUCUUAGUUUUCAGCCGACUCUCUGGUUUUCUCUCUUAGAAGAAGAAAAGAACCUUUCUUCUUCAUGGUUUAGGGUUUGUUUUUGAGUGGUUUUUUUGAAAAUGAAACCUGCAAACACCAAGAAAUACUCUAGAUACAAAUAGUUGUUGUGCUACUCUAGCUUCGGUUAGGUUGAAUCUGUAUGAUUCAAGUGAUCUGCCCGAUUUCUUGUAAGAUCUUAGUGAUCUAGUUUUUGUGGGUUCCGUGGUGGAACGUGACUUGCUGUGUGAUAUGCACCUGAUUCUUAGUGAUUCGAGAGAGGGCAGUUAGGUUUUUAGUGAGAUCUUUGUGAUCCAAUUUAAUUCCUUGUGGAAUAGUGGUUGGCUAUUGUUGUUC
RNAcentral lists this long non-coding RNA (5831 nucleotides) under Olea europaea (common olive). RNAcentral's name for it is "long non-coding RNA (OEUR_LNC000100)". Lineage: Eukaryota; Viridiplantae; Streptophyta; Magnoliopsida; Lamiales; Oleaceae. The record is from RNAcentral.